This 253-nucleotide ribosomal RNA is filed under the name Salmonella enterica subsp. enterica. Its description in RNAcentral is "partial 23S ribosomal RNA". It matches the Rfam family "Bacterial large subunit ribosomal RNA", at positions 1660 to 1895 of the family's 2925-position model. RNAcentral also lists the same sequence under 1 other name. Lineage: Bacteria; Pseudomonadati; Pseudomonadota; Gammaproteobacteria; Enterobacterales; Enterobacteriaceae. The record is from RNAcentral.
CAGGUGGUCAGGUAGAGAAUACCAAGGCGCUUGAGAGAACUCGGGUGAAGGAACUAGGCAAAAUGGUGCCGUAACUUCGGGAGAAGGCACGCUGACACGUAGGUGAAGUGAUUUACUCAUGGAGCUGAAGUCAGUCGAAGAUACCAGCUGGCUGCAACUGUUUAUUAAAAACACAGCACUGUGCAAACACGAAAGUGGACGUAUACGGUGUGACGCCUGCCCGGUGCCGGAAGGUUAAUUGAUGGGGUCAGCG